This 481-nucleotide ribosomal RNA is filed under the name uncultured bacterium. RNAcentral's name for it is "partial 16S ribosomal RNA". It matches the Rfam family "Bacterial small subunit ribosomal RNA", at positions 28 to 507 of the family's 1533-position model. The record is from RNAcentral.
GACGAACGUUGGCGGCGUGCUUAAUACAUGCAAGUCAACUGAAGCAGUGGUAGCAAUAUCGCUGUGGAGGUGGCGCACGGGGGAGUAACACGUAGGUAAUCUGCCUUCAGGUCUGGCAUAACUCCGGGAAACCGGGGCUAAUAGCAGAUGAUGCAGCGGCUCGACAUCGAGACAGUUGUUAAAGCUAUGGCGCCUGAAGAUGAGCCUGCGUCUGAUUAGCUAGUUGGCGGGGUAACGGCCCACCAAGGCAACGAUCAGUAGCUGGUCUGAGAGGAUGAUCAGCCACACUGGAACUGAGACACGGUCCAGACUCCUACGGGAGGCAGCAGUAAGGAAUAUUGCUCAAUGGGAGAAAUACUGAAGCAGCAACGCCGCGUGAGGGACGAAGGGCUUUUGCUUGUAAACCUCUGUAGUGAGAGAAAAAAAUCCCAAUCUUUGGGACAUGAUGGUAUCUCAAAAGUAAGCCCCGGCUAACUACGUG